This 446-nucleotide ribosomal RNA is filed under the name uncultured bacterium. RNAcentral describes it as "bacterial SSU rRNA". It matches the Rfam family "Bacterial small subunit ribosomal RNA", at positions 329 to 792 of the family's 1533-position model. The record is from RNAcentral.
CGCCAGACUCCUACGGGAGGCAGCAGUGGGGGAUAUUGGACAAUGGGGGGAACCCUGAUCCAGCGACGCCGCGUGAGUGAAGAAGUAUCUCGGUAUGUAAAGCUCUAUCAGCAGGGAAGAAAAUGACGGUACCUGAUUAAGAAGCCCCGGCUAACUACGUGCCAGCAGCCGCGGUAAUACGUAGGGGGCAAGCGUUAUCCGGAUUUACUGGGUGUAAAGGGAGCGCAGGCGGCUUUGCAAGUCUGAUGUGAAAGGCCGGGGCUCAACCCCGGGACUGCAUUGGAAACUGUAAAGCUAGAGUGCCGGAGAGGUAAGCGGAAUUCCUAGUGUAGCGGUGAAAUGCGUAGAUAUUAGGAGGAACACCAGUGGCGAAGGCGGCUUACUGGACGGCAACUGACGCUGAGGCUCGAAAGCGUGGGGAGCAAACAGGAUUAGAUACCCGGGUA